GUAGGUGGCAAGCGUUGUCCGGAAUUAUUGGGCGUAAAGCGCGCGCAGGCGGUUCUUUAAGUCUGAUGUGAAAGCCCACGGCUCAACCGUGGAGGGUCAUUGGAAACUGGGAGAACUUGAGUACAGAAGAGGAAAGCGGAAUUCCACGUGUAGCGGUGAAAUGCGUAGAGAUGUGGAGGAACACCAGUGGCGAAGGCGGCUUUCUGGUCUGUAACUGACGCUGAGGCGCGAAAGCGUGGGGAGCAAACAGGGAUUAGAUACCCUGGUAGUCCACGCCGUAAACGAUGAGUGCUAAGUGUUAGGGGGUUUCCGCCCCCUUAGUGCUGCAGCUAACGCAUUAAGCACUCCGCCUGGGGAUACGGCCGCAAGGCUG
This 373-nucleotide ribosomal RNA is filed under the name uncultured organism. Its description in RNAcentral is "partial 16S ribosomal RNA". It matches the Rfam family "Bacterial small subunit ribosomal RNA", at positions 527 to 896 of the family's 1533-position model. The record is from RNAcentral.